Molecule: ribosomal RNA, 493 nt
Filed under: uncultured bacterium
Lineage: Bacteria
Description: partial 16S ribosomal RNA
Rfam family: Bacterial small subunit ribosomal RNA
Source: RNAcentral
ACGAACGCUGGCGGCGUGCUUAACACAUGCAAGUCGAACGGAAAGGCCUGCUUUCCCUUGUGGAUUGCGGGUACUCGAGUGGCGAACGGGUGAGUAACACGUGAGUGAUCUGCCCCCAACUUGGGUAUAAGCCUGGGAAACUGGGUCUAAUUCCCGAUAGGACUGCAGGGUGGUGCCUGUGGUGGAAAACGAUUUUCUAGUGGUUGGGGAUGAGCUCGCGGCCUAUCAGCUUGUUGGUGGGGUAAUGGCCUACCAAGGCGGCGACGGGUAGCCGGCCUGAGAGGGUGGACGGACACAUUGGGACUGAGAUACGGCCCAGACUCCGACGGGAGGCAGCAGUGGGGAAUAUUACACAAUGGGCGGAAGCCUGAUGCAGCGACGCCGCGUGGGGGAUGACGGCCUUCGGGUUGUAAACUCCUUUCGACCGCGAGGAAGCCACCUGGUUGGAAGGGUGGUGACGGUAGUGGUAGAAGAAGCACCGGCUAACUACGUG